RNAcentral lists this long non-coding RNA (823 nucleotides) under Polistes fuscatus (common paper wasp). RNAcentral's name for it is "uncharacterized LOC122514331, transcript variant X1". The record is from RNAcentral. Lineage: Eukaryota; Metazoa; Arthropoda; Insecta; Hymenoptera; Vespidae.
UAGGACGCGCGCGCACAUUACAUACAUAGGCAAGAGCGUUCCUAUACUUAAGUGCCAAAGUGACAUUCACUCCAAGGGGUUUUAGUUAUUCCGCUAUACGCUUGCUCUCUGCUACACUCGAGCGAUGUUUUUCACUAUAUUCACGACACCGAGAAAAGAAUAAUCAUGGUGGCGGCGGUGGCGGUGGUGUAGUGGUGGUGUAGUGUGGCAAAAGCGUACAGCCGCGAAAUUCGAUGCGUUUAAUAAUGGUGUUACAAGUGCGAUAGAUAAGGUCGAAAGCACGAUGGAUCGAUAUUGAGCGUUAAAUUAUAUCUUCUUGAUUCUAAUAACUAUUACAUUUAUCUAUCAAACAGUUUGAUGUUUAAAAUUGUUUUUAACUGUAACUAACUGCUAUUUCGAUGUGUUCAUAUUUAGUAUAAUCAAAAAGUGUCGUCAUCGUCAAAGAAAGAAUAAACGAACGAAGAGAAGAGGGAUCGGCAAAGUGGCACCUAUCGGAUGUAUGCACCUCUUGGUACCACAUGGUACCGAUAUUAACGCUACGUUCACACUAUUAAAUUCUAACCUUUAAUUUGCUUAGACUCGAUUAAAGCGAUUAGAGGAAGUAGAUUACAUUAUGUUACAGAGGACAUAGGUAUGAUACAAAAUCGAACGUUGUUCUAUUAUUGUAUCACAUUUUUAUUUCUCUAUAUUCUUUUAAACAAUAUACUACCACUUGAUUUAUUGUUUGUUUCGAUGAAAAGAUGAAAAUAAAGCUAGUAAAGAACUUCAUUUAUCGACGUAUUUUCUCUUUGAUAAAAAUAAAAUGGAUGAAUAUUUAAAAAUA